RNAcentral lists this ribosomal RNA (371 nucleotides) under uncultured bacterium. RNAcentral's name for it is "bacterial SSU rRNA". It matches the Rfam family "Bacterial small subunit ribosomal RNA", at positions 28 to 401 of the family's 1533-position model. The record is from RNAcentral.
GACGAACGCUGGCGGCGUGCCUAACACAUGCAAGUCGAACGGAGUUGCCCUUCGGGGCAACUUAGUGGCGAACGGGUGAGUAACGCGUGAGAAACCUGCCUUUCAGUGGGGGACAACAGUUGGAAACGACUGCUAAUACCGCAUAACAUAUUCGGGGGGCAUCCCCUGAAUAUCAAAGCUUAAUGUGCUGAAAGAUGGUCUCGCGUCUGAUUAGCUAGAUGGCGGGGUAACGGCCCACCAUGGCGACGAUCAGUAGCCGGUCUGAGAGGAUGAACGGCCACAUUGGGACUGAGAUACGGCCCAGACUCCUACGGGAGGCAGCAGUGGGGAAUAUUGGGCAAUGGGGGAAACCCUGACCCAGCAACGCCGCG